Long non-coding RNA from Lolium perenne, 1043 nucleotides. RefSeq lists it as uncharacterized. Lineage: Eukaryota; Viridiplantae; Streptophyta; Magnoliopsida; Poales; Poaceae. The record is from RefSeq and is a predicted model, not a curated record.
UUCAGAAACGAAGAGAAGAACCAUAUGUUAUGGUGGAUCUAUAGGAAUAUUUGACGAAUGGAAAUAUGACUUCUUUUCUCUGGUUCUUAUUGUGUUCCUAAAACUUAUUAGGAUGCAUGGUCCAGGGUGACUCCGUUGCAUCUGUUUUUUUUUUCUUUGUGUGAACUAACUUGAAUCCUUGCCCAGUUAUGACUCUGAUAUUUGGAAACCAUUGAGCCGUUGCUAGGACCAAAAUGGAUGAUUGGCGAGGAGGACCAGCUGAAAAGAAUUGCUACAUAAGUUGCUUUAUCAUGGGGCUAUCAUCUUCUCAUAAACUGCACUACUAUGGAGAAAGAAAGCUGAACUUUAUUUUCAUAUGGUGUAAGUCAACUAGCUGCAUGGACACAUAACUGGGAAGGUAUGAUCACAGGUGCAGCUGUCUCAACUAUGUAAUACAAUCUCAAGCUGAAACAUCCGUCUUUGGAUAUGCCAAUGCUCGAUUAUGACCAGUUCUCCUGGCACAUCAAGUAAAGCUUUUUAGAAGCCUGUUGAGACAUGGAAGAAAGAGACCAUAGUCAAAAGGGCUUUGGUCACCUGAAUAAUUGGCCUCGAUAGCCAUGUAGGGUGGAACUGUGUCCGCUGUGACCAUUAAAUUAUGGAGUAUUACUUGGUUUUGUGCCCUCUGAUGAUUAGAAUGUUGCAUAUGAUUUAUGCGCAGCAGUAGUGUGUUUCUAUACAUAAUGAGUAUUGCAUUUGAUCACAGGUAUCCUACCCAAUGGAAUUACUGCUCGGCUUAGAAUUGUUGCUCCUCGGAUUCUAGGCUGAUCUGGUAAAGCAUAGAGAGAAGGAUGCUAAUAUGCAAAAUCUUGUGCAAUAUGUAGUGCCCUGAAGUAUAUGUCAACCGCAAGAUAUCGUGCCCUGAAGUAUAUGUCAGUAUGAUUUUGGUACCACGGCGAUCGUUUGCAAGUCCAACUUAGUUAUAUGUUCAGGCUGCUCCUGAAUUUCCUUGAUGUAAGCAUCUUUUGUCUAUGUAAACAUGUAAAGCAUGUGUGGCGCUUAGUUCA